Molecule: ribosomal RNA, 900 nt
Filed under: Alaimella sp. Nem.90
Lineage: Eukaryota; Metazoa; Nematoda; Chromadorea; Plectida; Leptolaimidae
Description: SSU rRNA
Rfam family: Eukaryotic small subunit ribosomal RNA
Source: RNAcentral
AUGCAGGUGUAAGCACCAGCCGAAAAUGGUUAAGCCGCGAAUGGCUCAUUACAACAGCCACCGUUCACUUGAUCUUGUUGUCCUACUUGGAUAACUGUGGUAAUUCUAGAGCUAAUACAUGCAAAUAUACUCCGAUCCUUCGGGAGACGAGUGCAAUUAUUAGAACAAAACCAAUCGGAUCUCGGUCCGUGUUUUGGUGAAUCUGAAUAACUGAGCUGAUCGCACGGUCUUUGUACCGGCGACACAUCUUUCAAGUGUCUGCCUUAUCAAUUGUCGAUGGUAGUUUAUGUGCCUACCAUGAUUGUAACGGGUAACGGAGAAUAAGGGUUCGUCUCCGGAGAGGGAGCCUGAGAAACGGCUACCACAUCCAAGGAAGGCAGCAGGCGCGCAAAUUACCCACUCUCGGCACGAGGAGGUAGUGACGAAAAAUAACGAGGCAGUUCUCUAAGAGGGCUGCUAUCGGAAUGGGUACAAUAUAAACCCUUUAACGAGGACCUAUGAGAGGGCAAGUCUGGUGCCAGCAGCCGCGGUAAUUCCAGCUCUCAAAGUGUAUAUCGCCAUUGCUGCGGUUAAAAAGCUCGUAGUUGGAUCUACGUUUUCGGACUUGGUCCACCCAAUGGGUGCGAACUGAGAUCCAAAACUCUAAUGUUGGUCUUCCCUUGAUGCUCUUCAUUGAGUGUCUUGGGUGGCUAACGAGUUUACUUUGAAAAAAUUAGAGUGCUCAAGACAGGCUAUUAGCCUUGGAUAGUGGUGCAUGGAAUAAUGGAAUAGGACUGCGGUCCAUUUCGUUGGUUUUGGUCCCGCGAUAAUGGUUAAGAGGGACAGACGGGGACGUUCGUAUCGCUCCGUGAGAGGUGAAAUUCUUGGACCGGAGCGAGACGCCCUACUGCGAAAGCAUUG